GGAAAGGUGGCCGAGUGGUUGAAGGCGCACGCUUGGAAAGCGUGUUAUGGGUUAAACCAUACGAGGGUUCGAAUCCCUCCCUUUCCGCCA
RNAcentral lists this transfer RNA (90 nucleotides) under Deltaproteobacteria bacterium RIFCSPHIGHO2_12_FULL_43_9. RNAcentral describes it as "tRNA-Ser". It matches the Rfam family "tRNA". From Rfam's summary of the family: Transfer RNA (tRNA) molecules are approximately 80 nucleotides in length. Lineage: Bacteria; Deltaproteobacteria. The record is from RNAcentral.